This 300-nucleotide ribosomal RNA is filed under the name uncultured Costertonia sp. RNAcentral describes it as "bacterial SSU rRNA". It matches the Rfam family "Bacterial small subunit ribosomal RNA", at positions 495 to 795 of the family's 1533-position model. The record is from RNAcentral. Lineage: Bacteria; Pseudomonadati; Bacteroidota; Flavobacteriia; Flavobacteriales; Flavobacteriaceae.
GGGUAACUGCGUGCCGGGGGAGGCGGUAAGGCGUAGGAGGCGUGCGUUGUCCGGAUGCAUUGGGCGUAAGGAGCACGCAGGCGGUUUGGCAAGGCGGAUGGGAAAAGCAGAAGCGCAACUGCUGGCCUGCAUCCGAUACUGCCCGACUAGAGGUAGGUAGGGGAGAUCGGAAUUCCUGGUGUAGCGGUGAAAUGCGCAGAUAUCAGGAGGAACACCGGUGGCGAAGGCGGAUCUCUGGGCCUUACCUGACGCUCAGGUGCGAAAGCUAGGGGAGCGAACAGGAUUAGAUACCCUGUAGUC